CAGUCGCCGCGGUAAUACGUAGGUGGCAAGCGUUGUCCGGAAUUAUUUGGCGUAAAGGGCUCGCAGGCGGUUUCUUAAGUCUGAUGUGAAAGCCCCCGGCUCAACCGGGGAGGGUCAUUGAAAACUGGGAAACUUGAGUGCAGAAGAGGAGAGUGGAAUUCCACGUGUAGCGGUGAAAUGCGUAGAGAUGUGGAGGAACACCAGUGGCGAAGGCGACUCUCUGGUCUGUAACUGACGCUGAGGAGCGAAAGCGUGGGGAGCGAACAGGAUUAGAUACCCCGUAGUCCCUGUCUCUUAUACA
RNAcentral lists this ribosomal RNA (301 nucleotides) under uncultured bacterium. RNAcentral describes it as "partial 16S ribosomal RNA". It matches the Rfam family "Bacterial small subunit ribosomal RNA", at positions 509 to 808 of the family's 1533-position model. The record is from RNAcentral.